This is a long non-coding RNA of Pantherophis guttatus, 5114 nucleotides long. RefSeq lists it as uncharacterized. Lineage: Eukaryota; Metazoa; Chordata; Lepidosauria; Squamata; Colubridae. The record is from RefSeq and is a predicted model, not a curated record.
AAAGGAAAUAGUAAAGAAAACAUCUUCACACUUGUGUAUUGGCUAAAAUCUGCAUUCUGACUUAAAGGGAGGGGUCUCUACCACUUUAAUCCUACUGCUUUGCCUAAGGGCAUUCAGAUUGUGCUUUAGCUGGAUGGUUUUCACUUCUGCUUAAUAAAAGAAUCCUUUUGAACAACCACGUUUCAAGAGUUCGUACCUUCUUAAGUUGGAAGGAGAGGCGAUCCUUACAGAAAGCACAAUCUGCAAAACGGUCAACCCAGAGAAGCAAUCUUCGCUCUACUGAAUGGACCUUGCAAACCAUGUCUGAACGAAGCAGAGAGCUGGGAGAAACUGAUUGCUGGGGAGAGACAACAACCGCCACCCAGUCAGAUGCCUGUUUCAUGCACCCCAUCGGAGAGGAUGAGGUAACCCUGGAGAAUCCUGAAAAGUCCCGCUGGUCAAUUGGCAUUGGGAAGAAAGAUAGCUGGGAUGAGAGAACCAGGGGAGUCACCCUCAACCGUGGCAACUGAAAACCGGGGUGGAAACUGGAACUAGAAGUCCUUGCUGACCAAGGAGGACUGACCGAAGCACCACUGAGGGAGGAUUAUCUGAAGAGGCAUAUAACCCAAUUGGUGAUGGAAACUUUGGAAAAUCUCAACAUCUGAAGGGAGCCAGGACAACAACCAAAGGGCACGGAAGGAGCAGCCGUUGAAGAGGAUGCCACAGGAGGCACCCCCUGUCUGGAGCCUGCCUAUCGAGCAGAGGGUGCAGCAGCAGGGGGAGAAGACCCAGCAAACCCUCCCCCCCAGGCAGCAUGCACACUGGCACCCAUUCUCAACCAGCCCCGGGUCCUGCAACUGGAAAGAGAAACUCCCCCCCCCCUUGGGGUGAAGUUUGAUGGGAAUCCGCAACAAUUAGGAUUCUUUGUGGCACAUGUGCUAACCUACGUGCAAGAGUAUGGGCGUGAUUUCCAAACCCAAGGAUCCUGAGUGCGAGUUGUGACCCUAACCCUAGAGGGUGCCGCAGCCAGAUGGAUGGUGACCCUACAUAAUGCCAACGCACCAGAAUUGCAGAAUUUUGACCAUUUCAUGAUGGCCCUGCAACAUCGGUUCGAGGACCCACUGGCAGAUCACAAAGCACAUGACCACAUUAAGGUGGUGAAGCAGGGGUGAUGGCCAGUAGCAGAGUAUACUGAAGAAUUCCUGGACCUCGCGUGUCGUGUGCACUGGCCAGAAGAUAUUUUGGUGGACCCUUUUGUUUUCUAAGGAGGGUAGUUGGAAGACCUGAUGGAUCAAUGGCCUUCUCACUUCACUGAAUCUCACUGUCUGCUAAGAACCAGCUUAUAAAUGAAAAGCGACAAUGAAACAGAACUCACAGUGUGGAUCAUACUCAGUAAAAGUACCUUUCUCUAUGAAAAUGGAGUCGGGAUUUUUCUUUCUUGAGUACUGAAAGGAGGCACACCUGACAUUAAGCAAGGUCUGCAAUUAGCAGACAUCCCAGAAAACUACCGUGGGGGCUGAGCAAACUAUAUCUGAUCAAGACAGCAACCAGGAACAGAUGGGAGUGGCUGGCUCAGCGACUCCCCCAUCAUACCCUGGCUGGGAGCCUUCAGACUAGAUGGCUAAUUUACAGCUGGAGGAGAAGCCGGAGAGAGCCAAAUGGUUGCUGGGCAUGGGGAGGUUACUGGAGCUGGAAAAGACCCCCCAAGGAGUAACAACUCCCAGAAGCUGAGGUGGAGAUGCUGCCUGUCAGCAAGAGCAGAAAGAAAAUCUUCUGAUCACCCAUGCUUUGCAACUACUGAGAGAGGUUGUGGAGAGUCGUAAAGCCCGUGAAAGGUAUGGAUUGACUGCCAGGGAGGAGGAUGAAUGCCAUGGGGGUGAAACGGAGGCUGUUGCUUGUGUGGAAGAGAGCGCCCAAUCCCGGGAAGAGACAGCUCAGGCCUCUGGAUCCCGGCUGCAGCCCAGGACCCCCUGCUGGACAGGCUCUGCUAUGGAGGUGAAGCAAGCCCAAAAUUCCCUUACUAUCAGUAAGAUACGGGGGAGAUCCGAAAGGACUGUGAUUCUUUUUAACUCAAGUGUGGAACCACAUGCAGGACUGGGGGGAGGAUUACCAGGGCCCUGGACGGGGUUGCAGCUGAGUGUAUGAUGGGACUCCAUAAUGAAGAUUCCCCCCUGAUGAGGAAUUAUGACCAAUUCAUGGCAGCCCUCAGAAUGCGGUUUGAGGAUCCGUUAGCCGAGUGAAGGGUGAGAAUUAGAACGAAGUCCAUAUAUCAGGGGUGGAGAGGGGUGGCGGAGUACACCCAGGAGUUCCAUGAGUUGGCACCCUACAUGAAAGGGUGGUCAUAAGUAGCCCUAAUGGAGAGCUAUAAAGAUGGGCUAAAUGAAGAUGUCUACAAAGAUUGCUGCUCCCGAGGGGCCCCUAGGGAUCUGCAGAGUUGGUACGUGCUGGCCGCAGACGUGAAGAUCGACUUGGCCAGGGAUUGUUUCUGUGGUGGGCGCACCUGGAAUCCACCACCCUCCUCAUCCCACAAGGGUGCCAAAGACUGCAGUGGGGCUGGCAGGCUCCAAGCCGAAGUCCUCCACAUGUUUCAGAUGUGGGAAGGAGGGGCACCGAGCAGCUGAGUGUUUCUCUAAGUCUGGAACCAAGGCGACCCCUAGUAGAGGGAAGAGAGCCGAUAAAGCAACUGCGAAAGCCCGCGAAAGUGCCCUAAAAGGGGUAGAAGUCAUUGAGUUCGCUCCCCUGAAACAGGGUGAGUUGGGAACUCCGACCAUUGCCGAUGACAGCAAAACUGAAACCGAUUCCGAUGAGGACCUCCUGGUAAGUCAGAAUGGGGCCCCCAUGACCAUCCCAGUAGAACUAAAGGUACCAUCCACCGGGGCCCACAGGCAGAUGCUAGCCCUUCUAGAUUCGGGAUGCACCAGGUGUGUCAUCAGCCCGGACAUCGUAGAACAGAUGGGUCUAAGACUAAAAACAAUGAAAAGACUCAUCACAUUCUGUCAGCUAGACAGAUCGGUGGCUGGGGGGGGCAGCCUAUUUUGUAACUGAACCAAUUGAGAUGAGGAUGGGGGAUCACCUAGAGACUCUGAGUUUUAUUAUGGCUCUGGGCAUGGAACGGCCCCUCCUACUUGGGUUGCUCUGGCUCCAAAAAUGGAACCCAUGUAUAAAUUGGAAAACAGGUGUGUUGUGCAUCCUCUCCAAUCAACAAGGGAAAGAGGGGAGGACCCCUAUUGUGUGGCGAAAGUGGCAAGCGAGGGGGCGGCAACUGCAACAGAUCACUUUGUGGGGUAAGAAAAGAUCCCAAAAGAGUACUGGGACCUCUGGGAGGUGUUCAGUGAAAAGGCGUCAGAUGUGCUGCGCCCCCACCAGCCGACAGACUAUAGCAUAAAAAUCCUUCCUGGAGUAAAACUCCCUAAACCAAAAAUCUACCCCAUGACCCCCCCGGGAGUUGGAGGAACUGCGAGACUUUAUUGAUAAAAACCUAAAACACGGCUUCAUUCAACUGGCUAGGCCGUGAGUAGUCACCCCGGUAGUAUUCUGGGAGAAGGAUGGGUCUUAUCGCCUGGUGGUCGAAAUCUCAAUACCAUCUGCAUAGAAAACAUCUACCCCAUGCCCCUCAUGAAGGACAUGCUAGCCCACCUGGAAAUUUUUUUACUAAGUUGGACUUGCGGGAGGCGUAUUAUAGAGUUUGAAUUAAGGAAGGCGAUGUCACUGCAUUUUUGUAUUUACCAGCUGAGCUCAUUAUUUCUGGACUGUCAGACUUUCCGUAGCUUGCCAAAAUUUCUUAUCAGUAACUGAUACUACGCAUGUCCACAUUCUUUCACUUGCUUCUCACUUUCCUUUGUUCUCUUGCCAGAAGUCCAGCUGAGAAACAGCCGGCACGAACUUUUGCAAAAAUGUAACAAUUAAUUUUCUUAGUUAGUGAGAUGUUUUAUUUUCUUUAUAACAAAUAAAUGAGUUUUCUUAGAAAAUAUCUUUGGGUUUUGUUUUCUUAAAGUAUACUUGCAAGGAAAGGUCUCAAUCCUCCCCUCGUAAUCAGGUGCGAUUAUCCCAAAAGCAGAAUGGGAUUAAUCAACGCCCUGACAGGCGAUGAAUGGAAAACUGCUUUCAACUGCCCGCUGGGAUGUUUCCAGUUUUGGGUGCUCCCUUUCGGACUGCAAGGAGCCCCUGCCGUGUUCAUGCAACUGAUUAACGAAGUACUGCACAAACACCUGUACAAGGGGAUGCUGGUCUACCUUGAUGGCAUUCUUAUUUACACCGAGACCAUGGACGACCACGUAAAACUUGUGAGGGCCAUCCUGAAAAAGCUUAGAGCUGCUGAACUGUAUGCUAAGCUAUCAAAAUGUUAAUUCCACUGGACUAAAAUUGACUAUCUGGGGUACCACAUCUUGCAUGAGGGGAUAGAGAUGGAUCCAGGAAAGGUCCCAGCCAUGUUGGAAUGGGCUCCCUGACGCACCCGCAAACAAUUACAAAGUUUCCUGGGUUUUGCUAAUUUCUAUCGACAGUUAAUCCCCUCAUUUGCAAAAAUUGCCUUACUGAUUACUAAUCUUCUGAAAAUGAAAGGAGAGGAGAGGCCAAAAUCCUCCCAGCCCCUCGAGUGGACUAUUGACUGUCAGGGGGCUUUUGAGAAACUGAAACAACUGUUUGCUGCCAAACCAGUCCUUAAACAUCCUGACAUAGAAGCCCCGUUUGUUGUUCAGGCUGACGCCAGUGAUGUGACCGUCGGGGCGGUGUUACACCAAACGAAUGCAGAGGGGAAGUUGCAACCCUGUGCCUAUACCUCUCAGAAAUUAUUGGAGACCGAGAGGAGGUGGGCCAUAUGGGAAAAAGAGGCUUUUGCUGUUCAUUGGGCGCUGUUAACGUGGAGACACUUCCUUGAAGGAGUGGAGCACCCAUUUGAGGUGUGGACUGAUCACAAAAACUUAGAGGCUUUGAAAACGCCACGAAAGCUGUCACCUAAGCAAGUCCGCUGGGCUCAACACUUUAAACGAUUUAAUUUCUCCCUGCGCUACCUUCCUGGAGGGAAGAACUUUAUGGAAGAUGCCCUUUCAAGACUGCCUCAAUACAAUAGUGUUAGAGAGGAAGUAAUUCAUCUGGUUAUCCCCUUGAAACAGCUGGCGGUACCAGUGGUUACCAGA